AAAUCAACUCAAGCGCUUUUGCAUGGUCAUGGAGGAAGAGUCCGUCUUGUUGCGGUCUCCCCGCCGAAAAUCAACGGCGGAAAGUCACUGGUACCCGGCGUAGUAGAAUCUGUUCGCUGUUCGGCCAGUGUCGUUCCUGCCGGCAAACCCCCCACAAUUCUCUU
RNAcentral lists this unclassified non-coding RNA (164 nucleotides) under uncultured Geopora. Its description in RNAcentral is "sequence contains ITS2". Lineage: Eukaryota; Fungi; Ascomycota; Pezizomycetes; Pezizales; Pyronemataceae. The record is from RNAcentral.